GUACUCGCUUCGGCAGUACAUAUACUAAAAUUGGAACGAUACAGAGAAGAUUAGCAUGGCCCUGCGCAAAGAUGCUGUAAAAGCUUAUAAAGACUUUAGAGAAAAUU
This 107-nucleotide small nuclear RNA is filed under the name Stegodyphus mimosarum. The record is from RNAcentral. Lineage: Eukaryota; Metazoa; Arthropoda; Arachnida; Araneae; Eresidae.